This 1134-nucleotide ribosomal RNA is filed under the name Psychrobacter piscatorii. RNAcentral describes it as "bacterial SSU rRNA". It matches the Rfam family "Bacterial small subunit ribosomal RNA", at positions 370 to 1505 of the family's 1533-position model. The record is from RNAcentral. Lineage: Bacteria; Pseudomonadati; Pseudomonadota; Gammaproteobacteria; Moraxellales; Moraxellaceae.
CAUGGGGAAACCCUGAUCCAGCCAUGCCGCGUGUGUGAGAAGCUUUUGUGUAAAGCACUUUAGCAGUGAAGAAGACUCUCGGUUAAUACCCGGGGACGAUGACAUUAGCUGCAGAAUAAGCACCGGCUAACUCUGUGCCAGCAGCCGCGGUAAUACAGAGGGUGCAAGCGUUAAUCGGAAUUACUGGGCGUAAAGCGAGCGUAGGUGGCUUGAUAAGUCAGAUGUGAAAUCCCCGGGCUUAACCUGGGAACUGCAUCUGAAACUGUUAGGCUAGAGUAGGUGAGAGGGAAGUAGAAUUUCAGGUGUAGCGGUGAAAUGCGUAGAGAUCUGAAGGAAUACCGAUGGCGAAGGCAGCUUCCUGGCAUCAUACUGACACUGAGGCUCGAAAGCGUGGGUAGCAAACAGGAUUAGAUACCCUGGUAGUCCACGCCGUAAACGAUGUCUACUAGUCGUUGGGUCCCUUGAGGACUUAGUGACGCAGCUAACGCAAUAAGUAGACCGCCUGGGGAGUACGGCCGCAAGGUUAAAACUCAAAUGAAUUGACGGGGGCCCGCACAAGCGGUGGAGCAUGUGGUUUAAUUCGAUGCAACGCGAAGAACCUUACCUGGUCUUGACAUAUCUAGAAUCCUGCAGAGAUGCGGGAGUGCCUUCGGGAAUUAGAAUACAGGUGCUGCAUGGCUGUCGUCAGCUCGUGUCGUGAGAUGUUGGGUUAAGUCCCGCAACGAGCGCAACCCUUGUCCUUAGUUACCAGCGGGUUAAGCCGGGAACUCUAAGGAUACUGCCAGUGACAAACUGGAGGAAGGCGGGGACGACGUCAAGUCAUCAUGGCCCUUACGACCAGGGCUACACACGUGCUACAAUGGUAGGUACAGAGGGCAGCUACACAGCGAUGUGAUGCGAAUCUCAAAAAGCCUAUCGUAGUCCAGAUUGGAGUCUGCAACUCGACUCCAUGAAGUAGGAAUCGCUAGUAAUCGCGGAUCAGAAUGCCGCGGUGAAUACGUUCCCGGGCCUUGUACACACCGCCCGUCACACCAUGGGAGUUGAUUGCACCAGAAGUGGAUAGCUUAACCGUAAGGGGAGCGUUCACCACGGUGUGGUUGAUGACUGGGGUGAAGUCGAACAAGAGCUGUCCAC